AUCGCCUCAGCUGCUCUAAGCACCACUUCAAAAUUAACAAUCAAAAACUUCGGUGGAACACUUGUUCUUUCUCCCUCUUCCCUUUCCUCACGCAGAGGUCUUCGUCCGCAUCUGUCGCUCGCCACUCUCCGUUCUGCUCUCACAGCUCACGACAGGAGAUAAUAAGGAGGGAGCGCAGAUACGCGCGCCCCUACCUUCGAGGACUUCUCUUUCAGUACUUAGCUUUCUUCUCUCCGCCUUUUGGUGCACCUGGUUGUAGCACGUUGUGCGAGGGCGACACUGACCAACACGCAUCGACGGAAGAAGGCCAUUUUUUUUUUCGACAACGAUGUCGUCUCCUAGCGUGCUGGAGCUGUCGAAGCAGCUGAUGCAGCUCGACAACCAGGCGAAGGCCCUCCGCAACGAGGUGGAGUAUCUUCGCGCCACGAAGCGCUCCCUCGAAGUGUCGAAUACGACUGAGGGCAAGCUGUCGGAGAUGCGGGACAGCACGGGUAGCACUGCCAAGUCUCAGCGCUCUCGUGCCUCGGCGCGGCGCAGCGGUACGGCUGGCGGUACCAGCAUCUCUCUCCCGCAGGACUUCAUUGACGAUCUGGCGCAGAAGCGCAGUGACGUGGAGGCCUCCAUCCGCACGCACAAGAAGCUGCUGAGGGAGAAGGAGGCACUGCAAACUGCUCUGGCCAAGGCCGAGGAUGCCACCGAGGCGGCCGAGCAGGAGUACCUCGGUAUUGUGGAAGUUGUUGGCAUCGACACCGACGGCAAUUCGAACUCUGCGGUCGGCCUCAAGAAGAAGAACGCGUACGGCAUCGCCCUGAAAAAUGCAGUGGCGGUGUAUCAACAGCGUGAGAACGUUCGCAUUCAAAUGGAGGGCCAGUCCCGCGAGCUGCUGCGCCUUGCUGCGAUUCUGCAGGAGACGACCGAUGCGGAGAGUCAGCGCGCCGAGGCUGUAGAGGUACUCGCCGAGCGCAAGACGAAGCUGGAGGCGCUGCGCCACGAGUGCAACACGAUCGCGCGUGCGGCGGCUCGCAGGGAAAAGAUCGCCGACAGGAACCAGCACGGCCUCACAUCGGAGGAUUACAUCCGUCACAGCAACUUCGACCGCCGGGUCGCGCUGCACGAGCUGUCCAAGGAGGACAACCUCAUCAAGCAGAAUAACCUGGCCAUUCGCUACCGCGCCAUGCAAAUUGCGAAGAUUCAGGCGCACCUCGAACUGAUCGGUGACGCCGUCACCGGUGAUGACAUGGAGGAGGAGGAGCGCGUUGAUGCGGAUAUUGUCGAGGAGCUCGCGAAGGAGAUCAACGACUUGUACGAUUCCCACCUUGUGGCGAACCUUCGGAUGGACACCAUCGACUGCGAGAUUGAGAAGAUGGUGUGGCGCGCCUCUGCGUUGCAGCACGCAAAGGAGAGCACUGUGGUGGAGAUGGGACGUGUCCGCCGCGAGCACCGCCGCUACCUCGACGAGCUACAGAAGACCGUCGAUAAGGAGCGCGUUUCGAACGGCCAGACCAUCAUGCAGCUGCAGGACGAGCUCGAAACCCUUCAUAGGAGCUCUGCCCGCAAGAAGUAGCGGCCAAGGUCGUCGCCCAGCUUUGAGGCUGCCUCCGCUGAUCGCUUGUAAAGGAGGUUAGAGAACGAAAAAAAAAGGUAGUAGUGAUAUGCGGAAGGGUGUUGAUCGUCGUAUUGCGUCUGCGUGCACGUGUAUGUCGACGCGCGUGAGUCGAGCUGCGUCCGAAGCUGCCGAAAGUGUCCCGUAUGGGUGGGGGAACGGCAGCGGUGACGAAGCUUUCGCUGGCGCGCAGGCAUAUGCUUUCGGUACGGUGGCGUGACGCUUCUCUCCGCAAGGCUCUGUAUAUACGGAUGCGUUGCUGUAUCAGGCUUAGACAGCGGUAUCUCAACGGUUGAAACCGUUCUCGUGGGCAAGCAGAGGCAGGUCGAUUGUCUGGGAAGGUGUUCACACCGGCAUCGGCUACUGUGAGUGGAGCGUGUGUGGAAAGGCACAAGGGCACGGCUAUAGUGAAGGUCGUAGCGCGACAACAGCUGAAAUCUCUGCGUGUCCCCUUCACUCGUGUCAUUUGCCGGGCGCCUUCUCCGUACACCUCCAUAUCUCUCGGCUCCUUCCCCCCCUCUGUCUCUCUGAAAGCCCACAGCGGUCAGGUGCAUUGGCCGCUUUUCCGCCACUUCCAUCUGCUCGUGUAUCUGUACUCCUCUCUCUCUCCCUCUCUCUUACAUUCUUCCUCGCUGCGCCUGUGUUUGUGUGUCGGUGUGAUCGGUUGCCUUGCCCCCGAUGGCCUCCUUUCGCCCAUCGUUGAUUUAUCUGGUUGGUGUGCUACCGUUCCAGGGGCCUCACGAGCUGCAUUUCUCUUUCUCGGGCAGUUUUGCGCGCUUUGUGCCACCGCUGCUGCCAUCUUUCUCUCUCCCUCUCCCCCCUGUCUGUCUCUCGCUCGUUGUUUCUCACACCCUCGCUCUCCUGUAUUUCGUCCGCGGUCAGAAGAAAUGCGUGUUUGCGUGCGCGCGCGCGUGUGUGUGCUUGUGCUCGUUGGGUGUACACGCAUGUAGCCGCAUCGUUGUUUUAACGUUUUCAUGUGUUCCUUCUUUCCCCCUCCCCACUUCUCUACGCGGUGGAUGAGGAUGCUAGGCGAAACGAAAAAAAAACGAAGAGAAAGCGUGGGAGUAGCGGCACUUGUUAGCUAGCGAAGAAGGUUGCCGUUACGGCGCUGGUGCUGCUGGAGCCGCUCUCUUCUCAGCGUUCUGCGUCACCACUUCCCCUCCUCCCUCCUCUCAGUCUCUCUCCUCUCCACGGUGUGCCAGACCCUGAAAUAGCCUUCUCUCUCUCGCUCUUUGGCUUCCUUCAUUCUCGCUGUGUGGUUUUCCGUAAUGCUUGUCGCCUUUUUUUUUUGCUCGUGUGUUGCGGUCGUCUCACUUGUCUCUGUUUCGUAGGUGUGUGCGUACGUAUGUGUCUGCAUGUGUGUGUAUGUCCCGUCUUGUCCAUCCCCUUUCCCUCCUCUUCCCCUCUUUCCUUUGUAUGCCAUGAUUUUUUUUGUUUCUUUGGAGUCUCUCGCUCUCUCGUCCUUGACUUCGGGCUCCUCUGUGAUGGCGAGAACAGCAGAAUCACGUGUCUGUUAGCAAGGGGAGGCGGAGGAGGGCCUGCAUGGCGCAGACGUGUGGCUAUGUGCGCCGUCUUUGUGGGCGAGUGCGCAUCUGUGUGUCUGGCAUCAGAGUGUUGUCUCCCGGCCCCACUCUCUCUCUUAUCUGUACUCUCUUUCUUUUUUUUCUGUUUGUUUCUCUCCUCCGUCAUCUUACGUCAUUUCCCUCGCGCUGACAUGCGGGGGCGUCGUUUUGCGGAUCUCACGCAGUCGAGGCGAUGGCGACCGAGACAACGCCAGGCGAAUGCGUAUUCGGCACAGCAACAAAGCAGUUUGCCACGAGCGCUGCUUUUCAGCGCCAAGAGCUGCGUGUCGGGCUUUGUUCCUGUCGCUAGAUGCGAAAAAAAAAAUGAUCGAGGCGCAUUAGGUAAUCGCAUGAGAGAGCCGCGCUGAAAAAGCUGCCCGAGCUCACUUCCUCUCCGCGUGUGAGAUAUGUGCGGCGUGGCUUUCAUGACGGAGCAGGUAACUCAGCGCAUAGCUGUAAAGAUGUUAGCGUUGACGAGAGGCGCAUGGCAACAGGAUCAGCAUGCGACGACGACCUGGCAGUCGAACUUCUUCUUUAUGGCUGCGCAUAAGUCACGGCAAUGGGGUUCCAAUCUGGCCCGACGUCUUCAAGCGGUUCAUUUCCGUUCUUCUCUCUGUCUUGCUGCCUCCAACUUCUCAUGAACUACCCUCUCGCCCCAUCGUACACAUGAUCAUGAUUUGUAUGUGUAUGCGUGUCUGACUUCCUCUCCUCUCGUCCUCUACCGCGACCUCAUCACAG
Molecule: unclassified non-coding RNA, 3903 nt
Filed under: Leishmania donovani
Lineage: Eukaryota; Euglenozoa; Kinetoplastea; Trypanosomatida; Trypanosomatidae
Description: gene:LdHU3.27.1730(CDS-product:hypothetical_prote in_conserved)
Source: RNAcentral